AGAUAUCUUCGGAUAUUGAGACCGGCGCACGGGUGCGUAACGCGUAUGCAAUCUACCUUAUACAGGGGGAUAGCCCAGAGAAAUUUGGAUUAAUACCCCAUAGUAUAGUUGAAUGGCAUCAUUUGACUAUUAAAGUUCCAACGGUAUAAGAUGAGCAUGCGUCCCAUUAGCUAGUUGGUGUGGUAACGGCACACCAAGGCAACGAUGGGUAGGGGUCCUGAGAGGGAGAUCCCCCACACUGGUACUGAGACACGGACCAGACUCCUACGGGAGGCAGCAGUGAGGAAUAUUGGUCAAUGGGCGCAAGCCUGAACCAGCCAUGCCGCGUGCAGGAUGACGGUCCUAUGGAUUGUAAACUGCUUUUGUACAGGAAGAAACACUCCCUCGUGAGGGAGCUUGACGGUACUGUAAGAAUAAGGAUCGGCUAACUCCGUGCCAGCAGCCGCGGUAAUACGGAGGAUCCAAGCGUUAUCCGGAAUCAUUGGGUUUAAAGGGUCCGUAGGCGGUUUUAUAAGUCAGUGGUGAAAUCUGGUCGCUCAACGAUCAAACGGCCAUUGAUACUGUAAGACUUGAAUUACUUGGAAGUAACUAGAAUAUGUAGUGUAGCGGUGAAAUGCUUAGAGAUUACAUGGAAUACCAAUUGCGAAGGCAGGUUACUACAAGUGGAUUGACGCUGAUGGACGAAAGCGUGGGGAGCGAACAGGAUUAGAUACCCUGGUAGUCCACGCCGUAAACGAUGGAUACUAGCUGUUCGGUGCAAACUGAGUGGCUAAGCGAAAGUGAUAAGUAUCCCACCUGGGGAGUACGCUCGC
This 812-nucleotide ribosomal RNA is filed under the name uncultured Bacteroidota bacterium. RNAcentral describes it as "bacterial SSU rRNA". It matches the Rfam family "Bacterial small subunit ribosomal RNA", at positions 72 to 889 of the family's 1533-position model. Lineage: Bacteria; Pseudomonadati; Bacteroidota. The record is from RNAcentral.